UGGUUAAAAAGCUCGUAGUUGGAUCUCGGCGGACUGAGGGCGGUUUGCUUGCUAGUAUUACUGCCCUAUAGUCCGUAGUUUUGCCAGAGGUUUCGGGGUGCUCUUAAUCGAGUGUCCCGGGAUGCUGGCAGGUUUACUUUGAAAAAAUUAGAGUGCUCAAAGCAGGCUAUUACGCCUGAAUAUUCGUGCAUGGAAUAAUAGAAUAGGAAGUCGUUUCUAUUUUGUUGGUUUUCGGAAAUCGACUUAAUGAUUAAUAGGGACAGUCGGGGGCAUUUGUAUUCAAACGACAGAGGUGAAAUUCUUGGACCGUUUGAAGACAAACUACUGCGAAAGCAUUUGCCAAGAAUGUUUUCAUUAAUCAAGAACGAAAGUUAAAGGUUCGAAGGCGAUUAGAUACCGCCCUAGUUUUAACCAUAAACGAUGCCAGCUAGCGAUCUGCGGACGUUUUUUUUGUAGACUCCGCAGGAAGCUUCCGGGAAACCAAAGCAUUUGGGUUCCAGGGGAAGUAUGGUUGCAAAGCUGAAACUUAAAGGAAUUGACGGAAGGGCACCUCCAGGAGUGGAGCCUGUGGCUUAAUUUGACUCAACACGGGAAAUCUCACCAGGCCCGGACACUGGAAGGAUUGACAGAUUGAUAGCU
This 639-nucleotide ribosomal RNA is filed under the name uncultured marine eukaryote. RNAcentral describes it as "SSU rRNA". It matches the Rfam family "Eukaryotic small subunit ribosomal RNA", at positions 616 to 1256 of the family's 1831-position model. The record is from RNAcentral.